AAGACUAUACUUCACAGGAUCAUUUCUGUAGUAAGUCUUCUUUUACUUUUGAAGAAAUUCUAAGUAAUCCCAACCUGCGAUGAAGAUGUAUAUCGUUUUGUCUUGUAGCGUGAGGUUUGACUUUUGUCCAGCGAUUUGUUCGCAUUGGAUUAACAUGUCGUCGAUGAUCGCUCGGUAAUAAGGGACAAAACGACUUCUGAGUGGU
Episyrphus balteatus (marmalade hoverfly) is the source of this 205-nucleotide small nucleolar RNA. RefSeq annotates it as small nucleolar RNA U3. Lineage: Eukaryota; Metazoa; Arthropoda; Insecta; Diptera; Syrphidae. The transcript has a single exon. The record is from RefSeq and is a predicted model, not a curated record.